GCCCUGCUGACGAGUCCCAAACAGAAGGAAACAGCUGUCAAGUGC
Molecule: non-coding RNA, 45 nt
Organism: Echinostoma caproni
Lineage: Eukaryota; Metazoa; Platyhelminthes; Trematoda; Plagiorchiida; Echinostomatidae
Source: Rfam